AUCCCGUGCAUAUCCGGGCAUAGAUAUGCUUCCUCCCUGUUGGACUGACCCGAGCUUUGCUCGGAUCUUUUU
RNAcentral lists this non-coding RNA (72 nucleotides) under Rhodobacteraceae bacterium HIMB11. RNAcentral describes it as "Singlet oxygen resistance RNA X". It matches the Rfam family "Singlet oxygen resistance RNA X". Rfam says of the family: SorX (RSs2461)like SorY is a singlet oxygen induced sRNA that counteracts oxidative stress by targeting mRNA for a transporter in Rhodobacter. It also has an impact on resistance against organic hydroperoxides. The record is from Rfam by way of RNAcentral. Lineage: Bacteria; Pseudomonadati; Pseudomonadota; Alphaproteobacteria; Rhodobacterales; Paracoccaceae.